Thalassophryne amazonica is the source of this 2151-nucleotide RNA transcript. It is a transcript of the gene named nudix (nucleoside diphosphate linked moiety X)-type motif 22, with no coding region annotated. The record is from RefSeq and is a predicted model, not a curated record. Lineage: Eukaryota; Metazoa; Chordata; Actinopteri; Batrachoidiformes; Batrachoididae. The transcript has 8 exons.
AGCAGAAGGUCGGUUGUAGUGUCCAGUAGGUGACGGAAGCGUACCUUCAAGCUGGAUGUCAACCGCGUGUUAAGAAGAACACUUAAGGCGAUUCAUUUAAUCCGUGUUCCUGUACUUCCUCUGCUUCCGGAUGAGUUGUGAAAAUUCGACAGUAAACUAUCACCUAAAUGUUGAGAUGCAGAAACAGAAGCUCCAGUGAUGAAUCUAAAUCCAGAGCUGAGUGACCCGGAGGUGUCGGUGCUGCUGCACUUUGCAGCCUGGCAGGGCCUGCUUGAGUCUCAGGUCCGAGUGGAGCUCUCUGAAAGAUAUAACAGGCAGACAGACCCAGCACUAGAGCGCCACAUAGAGCAAGUGUGGACAGAGCGUGUGUCAAAAGAGCCGUGGCUUUUUAAUGGGGCCAAAUUCAGGCUACACUCUUUCCACUUGGCUUCCCCUAAAUAUUUCCCAUCAUCCCCCAUUACUUUAAAACAUCCAGCCUGCAGUCUUUCAGCACCUAUUUCCUCCUUGUCCUCUGUGGAGGACCAGAAGGCUGAAUUUCACAGCAGAAAAAGGUGGGAGGAGAAUUUGGAUGCUGUCCACGAGGACUUGGUUACUGAACGUACAGCUCAGAACAGAGUGGAUGGUAGAAACCUGCCUGCGAAUCUGCGAGAAACGGUACAUUGUGACUGCAGAGCAUCCGAGAGUGUUACGGCUCAUUGCUCCGAUAAAAACAAAAAUGUGGAGGACAGCAGGCCGUUCCUCACAUUCAGACUAGGACUGACAUGCUACAAGGACUUUCUGGGAACUAACUGGUCAUCCAGAGCGGCAGAGCUACGUAGGCAUGGCGAGGCAGAGUUCGGUGACCCUUUGGCACUUCUGGCUCAGCCUCUUGGGGUCGGAGCCGUCCUCUGCACAGAUGAUGGACAGGUGGUGUUGCUCAGGAGGAGCCAGCAGGUGGCAGAAGCAGGGGGGCUCCUAGACAUCCCGGGGGGCCACCCCGAACCCAAGGCCGUGUGUGAGGAGUGGAUAAGCGUCGCCACACUGCAGCAGAGACCGGGGGCCGUCGUCUCUGAGCUCUUCUCCUCCGUUUGUGCUGAGAUCAGAGACGAGGUGAAUGUUCCUCUGAGUUCUCUUGGACCACCUGUUCUGAUGGGUGUUGCUCUGAAUCACACCAGUGCUGGCAGGCCAAGUGCCGAAUUCUUCAUCAGAUCCUAGGAAGAGGCCUGGUACCAAAGAAAUAGUUGUCCCCUUACAUGACUGGUCAGCAUUAAAGUCUCACAACCGUAGAGGAAGCACCAGGACCCAAAAGACUUGGACCUUUGUUCUAAAGCAAAUGUAUCUGCAUCUCCAAACCCCUCUGUCUGGCGACCUCAUGACUCCAUAAGCUCUUCCAGGCAUCUCUUGAUCUCAAAGGCCGAGGACCCAGAGACAUGAAUGUCACUGCUGAGAUCAGUCAAUCUCUUUAUAUGUUGAAACACUUUUACUGCAUAGAUUCACUUCCAGUGACCAAGUCCAGGAAGUCAUUGAAUGCCUGGAUCAUAGUCUUGAUCCAGGACAAUCACAAAUCCUUUAUUUGGAGAUUUCAGAUACAGACACAUUUUUAAACAAGAGCAAUCAGAUGUUUGAUGUUCACCAAUUCGAUUCACCUCCAAAACUCAGUGUCUUCCACGCCCUAAUAUCUAUUGGUGGUGCAAGUUUGGGGAGAAUCUGUGAAGCAGUUUUAACGUAAUCCUUAAAAGCCUAUAAAGUGAAAUCUUGAUCCGGAUCCAGAUCACCUCCCAAAUUUAAUGGCGUCUUCCAUGGCCGAGUAUCUAUCUGUGGUGGAAAAUUUCAUCAAACCCUUGCAGUAGUUUUGACAUAAUCCUGCUAACAGACAGACAGACAAAUAAAUAAACGCCAUUUUAUUACGUCCUCUGUGUAUGUAAAAAUUCUUUAUUACAAUAGGGCUUUCUUAAAAUAAUUUAUUUUAAAUAAAAUAUGUUUCCAAUGUCCUGCCAAUGACACUUUGCUAUGUGUGUCCCCAGUUGUUCAUUGUUUUCUGAUGCAGUUAGAAAGUUGUACUGGAAAGGAGGCCCAGAGGCCCACGAGUCUACAGAUAUCGUGUUCCUCAGUAGAAAGGAGAUUCUGCAGCUGGACAGCAGCAGUCCUUUAUGGUUGGAACUGUGUCCUUCA